This 332-nucleotide ribosomal RNA is filed under the name uncultured bacterium. RNAcentral's name for it is "bacterial SSU rRNA". It matches the Rfam family "Bacterial small subunit ribosomal RNA", at positions 568 to 898 of the family's 1533-position model. The record is from RNAcentral.
UGUCGAGGCGGCCAUAUUAGUCUUUCGUAAAAUCCGUGGGCUCAACCUACGGCUCGCGAAGGAAACGGUAUGGCUCGAGGGCGUAAGAGGUGCAUGGAACUCAUGGUGGAGGGGUGAAAUCCGUUGAUAUCAUGGGGAACACCAAAGGCGAAGGCAGUGCACUGGUACGUUCCUGACGCUCACACACGAAAGCCAGGGUAGCGAACGGGAUUAGAUACCCCGGUAGUCCUGGCCCUCAACGUUGCUCGCUCGUUUUACGGAGUAUCGACCCUCUGUGAGACUAAGCUAACGCGGUAAGCGAGCCGCCUGGGUAGUACGAUCGCAAGAUUAAA